GGAACGAACGCUGGCGGCAGGCUUAACACAUGCAAGUCGAACGGUUGUAGCAAUACAGCAGUGGCAGACGGGUGAGUAACACGUGGGAACCUUCCUAGGGGUACGGAACAACUCAGGGAAACUUGAGCUAAUACCGUAUACGUCCGUGAGGAGAAAGAUUUAUCGCCCCUAGACGGGCCCGCGUAGGAUUAGGUAGUUGGUGAGGUAACGGCUCACCAAGCCUACGAUCCUUAGCUGAUCUGAGAGGAUGAUCAGCCACACUGGGACUGAGACACGGCCCAGACUCCUACGGGAGGCAGCAGUGGGGAAUCUUGGACAAUGGGCGCAAGCCUGAUCCAGCCAUGCCGCGUGAGUGAAGAAGGCCUUCGGGUUGUAAAGCUCUUUUACCAGGGACGAUAAUGACGGUACCUGGAGAAUAAGCCCGGCAAACUUCGUGCCAGCAGCCGC
RNAcentral lists this ribosomal RNA (447 nucleotides) under uncultured bacterium. Its description in RNAcentral is "SSU rRNA". It matches the Rfam family "Bacterial small subunit ribosomal RNA", at positions 27 to 518 of the family's 1533-position model. The record is from RNAcentral.